AUGGCGGUUCAGAAUACGUCCACUGCAUCUAUGGGAGAUGAGGGAGAUGCAGAGGGUGUCGUCGUCAACAAAUCAAAGGCCUCCUGUUGGACUCGACGUGUUAGGAUUGGCAAAGCGCCAGAAGAGAGGGAUGCCAACCCAAGCAGAGUCCUUGCCCUCGAAGCUUCAAUGCGAGGUUAUGCAGACAACAAGGUUGGCACUGUUGUUAACCCGGCGCUCAGAACUAGAUUCGACACAGUUGAAGAAGCGUGUGAGUUUUACAACCUAUACUCCUGGGAGACUGGGUUUAGCGUCAGGGCAAGCCAUUGCAAUCGAAAAGCCGCUCGACGAGGUGUGGAUGCCCCGUGUUGA
This 351-nucleotide ribosomal RNA is filed under the name Triticum aestivum (bread wheat). RNAcentral's name for it is "partial small subunit ribosomal RNA". The record is from RNAcentral. Lineage: Eukaryota; Viridiplantae; Streptophyta; Magnoliopsida; Poales; Poaceae.